CUCUUCUCUCCAGGACUAGCACAUUACCGAUUUUAAUCAGAUGUGAGGAGUCACUUGAAGGGAGGGAAGGGACAAAUCGGAAAGAGCUAGUGAACUGUGCUGUUGCUUUUGCAUCAGAAGGGUAAUGGCCAGAAGCCAAAUCAAUUAUUGCUGAUCUUCUGGAUUUGGGAAAGGAUGCCGCUGGACCAGAUCAGAUGGCCCGAGGAGGAGGGAAGCAGGGUUCAGCAGUCAGCGGCCACUCACCUGCCUUUACCGUCUGUCUGCUGCGGUCCUGGGCAGGUGACCCACGACACAGUGGGUGUGAAGAAACAAAUGAUCCUGAGCAGACAGAUGAAGAAGGGCAUCCCAUCCCCACUGCUUUAUUAGAAGGCAGAAAUGCUAACGUGCAAUGUGCUUCCAUUUUCUAGCAUCUAUAAUUGAUUGUAUAUCACCGUUUGGACUCCUUGGGAUAUUUUUGUCGGUGUCUAUAUAAAACAGAAAAACAUCACUCACAAGGACCACAGGUUUGAAGCCUGAGCCUGCUCUGUUUCUCUUGUUCCCUGACAGAGGAGGAGGGAAAAUCCUUUGCCCUUCUGUAGUGCUGCUAACUACAGAAUGUAAUUAUAUAUAAUAAUGUAAAAAAUGCCUUUGUAUCUCACCUUAAACUGUAAAGGAUUCAAAAUAUGGCUUUCAAAUAUCUAUACAACACUUUAGGAAACAAAGGUGAAAUAAGUGAGU
This 717-nucleotide long non-coding RNA is filed under the name Homo sapiens (human). Its description in RNAcentral is "HSALNT0137625". Lineage: Eukaryota; Metazoa; Chordata; Mammalia; Primates; Hominidae. The record is from RNAcentral.